Molecule: ribosomal RNA, 165 nt
Filed under: uncultured bacterium
Lineage: Bacteria
Description: partial 16S rRNA
Rfam family: Bacterial small subunit ribosomal RNA
Source: RNAcentral
UAGGGAAUCUUCGGCAAUGGACGAAAGUCUGACCGAGCAACGCCGCGUGAGUGAAGAAGGUUUUCGGAUCGUAAAACCCUGUUGGUAGAGAAGAACGUUGGUGAGAGUGGAAAGCUCAUCAAGUGACGGUAACUACCCAGAAAGGGACGGCUAACUACUUGCCAC